GAUGAACGCUGGCGGCGUGCCUAAUACAUGCAAGUCGAGCGAACAGACGAGGCGCUUGCUCCUCUGACGUUAGCGGCGGACGGGUGAGUAACACGUGGAUAACCUCCCUAUCAGACUGGGAUCACUUCGGGAAACCGGAGCUAAUACCGGAUAAUAUAUUGAACCGCAUGGUUCAAUAGUGAAAGACGGUUUUGCUGUCACUUAUCGAUGGAUCCCGGCCGCAUUAGCUAGUUGGUAAGGUAACGGCUUACCACGGGGACGAGGCGUAGCCGACGUGAGAGGGGGAUAGGCGACAUGGGAAGUGAGACACGGUCCAGACUACUACGAGAGGGAGCAGUAGGGAAUCUUCCGCAAUGGGCGAAAGCCUGACGGAGCAACGCCGCGUGAGUGAUGAAGGUCUUCGGAGCGUAAAACUCUGUUAUUAGGGAAGAACAAAUGUGUAAGUAACUAUGCACGUCUUGACGGUACCUAAUCAGAAAGCAACGGCUAACUACGUG
Molecule: ribosomal RNA, 497 nt
Filed under: uncultured bacterium
Lineage: Bacteria
Description: partial 16S ribosomal RNA
Rfam family: Bacterial small subunit ribosomal RNA
Source: RNAcentral